RNAcentral lists this ribosomal RNA (955 nucleotides) under Leuconostoc citreum. RNAcentral's name for it is "bacterial SSU rRNA". It matches the Rfam family "Bacterial small subunit ribosomal RNA", at positions 60 to 996 of the family's 1533-position model. The record is from RNAcentral. Lineage: Bacteria; Bacillati; Bacillota; Bacilli; Lactobacillales; Lactobacillaceae.
AGUCGAACGCGCAGCGAGAGGUGCUUGCACCUUUCAAGCGAGUGGCGAACGGGUGAGUAACACGUGGAUAACCUGCCUCAAGGCUGGGGAUAACAUUUGGAAACAGAUGCUAAUACCGAAUAAAACUUAGUAUCGCAUGAUAUCAAGUUAAAAGGCGCUACGGCGUCACCUAGAGAUGGAUCCGCGGUGCAUUAGUUAGUUGGUGGGGUAAAGGCUUACCAAGACGAUGAUGCAUAGCCGAGUUGAGAGACUGAUCGGCCACAUUGGGACUGAGACACGGCCCAAACUCCUACGGGAGGCUGCAGUAGGGAAUCUUCCACAAUGGGCGCAAGCCUGAUGGAGCAACGCCGCGUGUGUGAUGAAGGCUUUCGGGUCGUAAAGCACUGUUGUAUGGGAAGAAAUGCUAAAAUAGGGAAUGAUUUUAGUUUGACGGUACCAUACCAGAAAGGGACGGCUAAAUACGUGCCAGCAGCCGCGGUAAUACGUAUGUCCCGAGCGUUAUCCGGAUUUAUUGGGCGUAAAGCGAGCGCAGACGGUUGAUUAAGUCUGAUGUGAAAGCCCGGAGCUCAACUCCGGAAUGGCAUUGGAAACUGGUUAACUUGAGUGUUGUAGAGGUAAGUGGAACUCCAUGUGUAGCGGUGGAAUGCGUAGAUAUAUGGAAGAACACCAGUGGCGAAGGCGGCUUACUGGACAACAACUGACGUUGAGGCUCGAAAGUGUGGGUAGCAAACAGGAUUAGAUACCCUGGUAGUCCACACCGUAAACGAUGAAUACUAGGUGUUAGGAGGUUUCCGCCUCUUAGUGCCGAAGCUAACGCAUUAAGUAUUCCGCCUGGGGAGUACGACCGCAAGGUUGAAACUCAAAGGAAUUGACGGGGACCCGCACAAGCGGUGGAGCAUGUGGUUUAAUUCGAAGCAACGCGAAGAACCUUACCAGGUCUUGACAUCCUUUGAAG